UGGGGAAUAUUGCACAAUGGGCGCAAGCCUGAUGCAGCCAUGCCGCGUGUAUGAAGAAGGCCUUCGGGUUGUAAAGUACUUUCAGUCGGGAGGAAGGUGUCAAGGUUAAUAACCUUGGCAAUUGACGUUACCGACAGAAGAAGCAUCGGCUAACUCCGUGCCAGCAGCCGCGGUAAUACGGAGGGUGCAAGCGUUAAUCGGAAUUACUGGGCGUAAAGCGCACGCAGGCGGUUGAUUGAGUCAGAUGUGAAAUCCCCGGGCUUAACCCGGGAAUUGCAUCUAAUACUGGUCAGCUAGAGUCUUGUAGAGGGGGGUAGAAUUCCAUGUGUAGCGGUGAAAUGCGUAGAGAUCUGGAGGAAUACCGGUGGCGAAGGCGGCCCCCUGGACAAAGACUGACGCUCAGGUGCGAAAGCGUGGGGAGCAAACAGG
This 429-nucleotide ribosomal RNA is filed under the name Chloroflexota bacterium. Its description in RNAcentral is "Chloroflexi bacterium partial 16S ribosomal RNA". It matches the Rfam family "Bacterial small subunit ribosomal RNA", at positions 355 to 776 of the family's 1533-position model. The record is from RNAcentral. Lineage: Bacteria; Bacillati; Chloroflexota.